RNAcentral lists this ribosomal RNA (135 nucleotides) under Castor canadensis (American beaver). Lineage: Eukaryota; Metazoa; Chordata; Mammalia; Rodentia; Castoridae. The record is from RNAcentral.
GUCUACGGCCAAAUCACCCUGAAAGUGCCCAAUCUCGUCUGGUCUGGAAAGCUAAGCAGGGUGAGGCCUGGUUAGUACUUGGAUGGGAGACAGAUCUUCAGAGGAGACUGGUCAGAGACAAGUACUUUGGAGACA